This 29-nucleotide non-coding RNA is filed under the name Mus musculus (house mouse). Lineage: Eukaryota; Metazoa; Chordata; Mammalia; Rodentia; Muridae. The record is from RNAcentral.
UUGUUCUAAGAGGUUGCCGUUCUUGCCGU